Long non-coding RNA from Aethalodelphis obliquidens (Pacific white-sided dolphin), 764 nucleotides. RefSeq lists it as uncharacterized. The record is from RefSeq and is a predicted model, not a curated record. The transcript is spliced from 2 exons. NCBI's taxonomy places the organism in Eukaryota, Metazoa, Chordata, Mammalia, Artiodactyla, Delphinidae.
GCGUCCGGAGCCUGUGCUCCGCAACGGGAGAGGCCACAACAGUGAGAGGCCCGCGAAACACACACACAAAAAAAAAAAAAAAAGAAUGGAUCUGAACUCAGGGGUACCCUAUUCCAUAGUCAGUGCUCCUAACCUCGAUGCUAUUCUGUCUUGAUGCUGCAUUUCGAAACGUGCUUCUGAUUCCCUGCAGAUCUUCUCUAUGUGCCUAACACAUACCUACAGACAAAGGACAUUCAAAUUUGCUUUCUGACAACAGCAUGUUAGAAGGACUCUUGAAAAUCAUUUUGCCAACAGGAGUUCUCAUUUGGCUUGUUUACGUUUGUCAUAUAAGCCUUAAGCUUAUAACAUUCUAAACUGAAACACCAAAGAAGCAGGAUGCCCAAGAUCUCACAGUACUGCAAUGAAAACACCCACAAUCCUCUGUGUAAUGAGAUGAAAAUAAGUAAAUGAAAGAGAGGAAUGCUUUUCCAGAAAUCCAUCUUGUGCUCAUGGACAGAGAGCUGCAGCAUGUGGUCAGUUCCUGCACCUUCGGUCAGUUCCUAAGAGCCAAAGAAACAGUAUUUGAACAUGACUUUGAUCUACAGUGACCACAGCCAAAGAUUGUUUAUGUGGAGACCUACUAUUCUUCCUGGAUUCCAUCCUGCAUUAAAAGAUGAGUAUAAUUGUAUUGUAGAAAAGCACCUGGAGAUAUAUAAUCCUGGAGUCUUUCUGAACAUCUCUUUAUGUAAUGAAAUCUGUGAAGGGUAAAUAUGUUGAUCAGGAUA